RNAcentral lists this ribosomal RNA (497 nucleotides) under uncultured bacterium. RNAcentral describes it as "partial 16S ribosomal RNA". It matches the Rfam family "Bacterial small subunit ribosomal RNA", at positions 28 to 507 of the family's 1533-position model. The record is from RNAcentral.
GAUGAACGCUGGCGGCGUGCCUAAUACAUGCAAGUCGAGCGAACAGACGAGGAGCUUGCUCCUCUGACGUUAGCGGCGGACGGGUGAGUAACACGUGGAUAACCUACCUAUAAGACUGGGAUAACUUCGGGAAACCGGAGCUAAUACCGGAUAAUAUAUUGAACCGCAUGGUUCAAUAGUGAAAGACGGUUUUGCUGUCACUUAUAGAUGGAUUCGCGCCGCAUUAGCUAGUUGGUAAGGUAACGGCUUACCAAGGCAACGAUGCGUAGCCGACCUGAGAGGGUGAUAGGCCGCACUGGAACUGAGACACGGUCCAGACUCCUACGAGAGGCAGCAGUAGGGAAUCUUCCGCAAUGGGCGAAAGCUUGACGGAGCAACGCCGCGUGAGUGAUGAAGGUCUUCGGAUCGUAAAACUCUGUUAUUAGGGAAGAACAAAUGUGUAAGUAACUAUGCACGUCUUGACGGUACCUAAUCAGAAAGCCACGGCUAACUACGUG